RNAcentral lists this ribosomal RNA (432 nucleotides) under uncultured bacterium. Its description in RNAcentral is "bacterial SSU rRNA". It matches the Rfam family "Bacterial small subunit ribosomal RNA", at positions 28 to 457 of the family's 1533-position model. The record is from RNAcentral.
GACGAACGCUGGCGGCACGCUUAACACAUGCAAGUCGAACGAGAGAAGAGGAGCUUGCUUUUCUGAUCUAGUGGCGGACGGGUGAGUAACACGUGAGCAAUCUGCCUUUCAGAGGGGGAUACCGAUUGGAAACGAUCGUUAAUACCGCAUAACAUAAUUGAACCGCAUGAUUUGAUUAUCAAAGAUUUAUCGCUGAAAGAUGAGCUCGCGUCUGAUUAGCUAGUUGGUAAGGUAACGGCUUACCAAGGCGACGAUCAGUAGCCGGACUGAGAGGUUGAUCGGCCACAUUGGGACUGAGACACGGCCCAGACUCCUACGGGAGGCAGCAGUGGGGAAUAUUGCACAAUGGAGGAAACUCUGAUGCAGCGAUGCCGCGUGAGGGAAGAAGGUUUUAGGAUUGUAAACCUCUGUCUUCAGGGACGAAAAAUGACG